Molecule: long non-coding RNA, 523 nt
Organism: Acipenser ruthenus (sterlet)
Lineage: Eukaryota; Metazoa; Chordata; Actinopteri; Acipenseriformes; Acipenseridae
Exons: 3
Source: RefSeq, a predicted model, not a curated record
CACCACGGCACUCGAGCAGCGCCUCAACCCAGAGCCUCGUUUAGGUUUAAAUAUUUCCUCGUAUCCCCAUCGCUCAAUCUCAGGUUGUAAAAAAUGGCAUCCAAUGGUCCUGCCCAGUCUUUUGUUUGCCAUUUCAGAACUGCAUCCUACACAGCUCAUCCUAGUGUAGUUGGGGUUAUAAUUGGAAGAAACUGAUGUCAAGGGAUUUCCAGACAGAAAAAGCUGAGUUUAUUUUAAAUCUAAUUUUAUACAUGAUGUUCAUGCUGACUCUAGACUUUGACAACCUGCUAAUCGCACUUAACAAAAUUGUAUUUAAUAAUGUUUUCUUUUUUUUAUAAGUAUCUUAUUUCUUCUACACAUAAAAAGAAAACGCUAUUAAAUACAGUUUUGUUAAGUGCGAUUAGCGGGUUGUCAAAGUUUUGAUUUGGUCCCAGCCUUACUAUGACUAUUACUUCUGUAAAUAUCUGCAAUGUUUUGUAGAAGAUUGCCCUCUAGUGGAAGUUGUGUAUAGUUCGGUACUAUG